This 416-nucleotide ribosomal RNA is filed under the name uncultured bacterium. Its description in RNAcentral is "bacterial SSU rRNA". It matches the Rfam family "Bacterial small subunit ribosomal RNA", at positions 772 to 1186 of the family's 1533-position model. The record is from RNAcentral.
ACGGAAUAGAUACCCUGGUAGUCCACGCCGUAAACGGUGGGCACUAGGUGUGGGAUCCAUUCCACGGAUUCCGUGCCGAAAGCUAAACGCAUUAAGUGCCCCGCCUGGGGAGUACGGCCGCAAGGCUAAAACUCAAAGGAAUUGACGGGGGCCCGGCACAAGCGGCGGAGCAUGCGGAUUAAAUUCGAUGCAACGCGAAGAACCUUACCUGGGUUUGACAUAUACCGGAAACAUCUGGAGACAGGUGCCCCGCAAGGUCGGUAUACAGGUGGUGCAUGGCUGUCGUCAGCUCGUGUCGUGAGAUGUUGGGUUAAGUCCCGCAACGAGCGCAACCCUCGUUCUAUGUUGCCAGCGGUUCGGCCGGGAACUCAUAGAAGACUGCCGGGGUCAACUCGGAGGAAGGUGGGGAUGACGUC